CUACGGGGGGCAGCAGCUAUGAAUUUUUUACAAUGCACGAAAGUGUGAUAGAGCGAACCAAAGUGUCUAUCUUUUUUGAUAGACUUUUGUCGACUGUAAAUAUGUCGAUGAAUAAGGACCGGGAAAGACUAGUGCCAGCCGCCGCGGUAAUACUAGCGGUUCAAGUUGCAACCAACAUUAUUGGGUCUAAAACAUCCGUAGCUUGUCUAAUAAGUUUCUUGUGAAAUUUGAUGUCUCAAGCAUCAAGCGUGCAAGAAAUACUAUUAGGCUAGAGAUCGGUAGACGUAAGGAGUAUGUUUGAGGUAGCGGUAAAAUGUGUUAAUCUCGAGCAGACUAACAAUGAGCGAAGGCACCUUACGAGGACGAAUCUGACAGUGAGGGAUGAAGGCCAGGGGCGCAAAACGGAUUAGAUACCCGCGUAGUC
This 424-nucleotide ribosomal RNA is filed under the name uncultured archaeon. RNAcentral's name for it is "partial 16S ribosomal RNA". It matches the Rfam family "Archaeal small subunit ribosomal RNA", at positions 323 to 746 of the family's 1478-position model. The record is from RNAcentral.